AGCAGCCGCGGUAAUUCCAGCUCCAAUAGCGUAUAUUAAAGUUGUUGCAGUUAAAAAGCUCGUAGUUGAAUUUCGGGGUUAGUAGGUUGGUCAUGCCUCUGGUAUGUACUGGUCUCACUGAUUCCUCCUUCCUGAUGAGCCGUAAUGCCAUUAAUUUGGUGUUGCGGGGAAUUUGGACUGUUACUUUGAAAAAGUUAGAGUGUUUAAAGCAAGCUAACGCUUGAAUACAUUAGCAUGGAAUAAUGAAAUAGGACGUUCGAUCCUAUUUUGUUGGUUUCUAGGAUUGACGUAAUGAUUAAUAGGGAUAGUUGGGGGCAUUAGUAUUCAAUUGUCAGAGGUGAAAUUCUUGGAUUUAUUGAAGACUAACUACUGCGAAAGCAUUUGCCAAGGAUGUUUUCAUUAAUCAAGAACGAAAGUUAGGGGAUCGAAGACGAUCAGAUACCGUCGUAGUCUUAACCAUAAACUAUGCCGACUAGGGAUCGGAUGAUGUUAAUUUUUAAUGACUCAUUCGGCGCCUUAA
RNAcentral lists this unclassified non-coding RNA (520 nucleotides) under uncultured Glomus. Its description in RNAcentral is "SSU rRNA". It matches the Rfam family "Eukaryotic small subunit ribosomal RNA", at positions 569 to 1091 of the family's 1831-position model. The record is from RNAcentral. Lineage: Eukaryota; Fungi; Glomeromycota; Glomeromycetes; Glomerales; Glomeraceae.